GUGGAAGGGGGAAGAACAGAGAAAAUACCCUUUGAACUUUUCCAGUAGGCUCACGCAGGACUGCCGGUCAAACCCACCCCGAGCCAAGCAGCUGCGGAGCCCAGGGCAUGAUUCAGUGGUGCGACGCGUCUAUCGGAACUUCCCAGAACACACGGAUGCCGGGCUUGAUACACCUUCCAAGAUGAUGCUUUACUCAAGACGUCUACUCCAAGUCCUUCCUUGUACAUGUAUACUUCAAAUUUUUUAUUCCAAAAGGUGCAAACAGGCUUACAGGAAAACACCAGCACAGAGACACUGCCCUGAAAACCUGCAUAGCUUCCUUCUGUGGCAGGAGGACAGUCCGAGAUGUCUCCACACCUUCCAGUGGCACUAUAUGCUACCCUAAGCCUUUUUUGAACCUCCCAAUUCCCCCCUCCUGCCAGGACAAGGGUACAAAGCAGAGUCUUGUUGCAAUUUGUUUCAAGAGAGGGAGAGGCAGCGACCUUGUUUACCGAGAGCAACCUCAGUGUGUAUGAGCAACGAGCUGUGUGGAGAGACUGCCUGCCUUGGCUGCCGUUCCUCUCUCGUUAAAGACCACAGGAAAUGAUGGACAUUUCUAAACCGGAAAAAUUUGCAUGCAAGCUUGGGCUAACCACAAGAAAAUAAAGCACACGGCAAGAAUCACAAGGCUCAUGGCAGAAGAGGAA
Molecule: long non-coding RNA, 686 nt
Organism: Passer domesticus (house sparrow)
Lineage: Eukaryota; Metazoa; Chordata; Aves; Passeriformes; Passeridae
Exons: 4
Source: RefSeq, a predicted model, not a curated record